RNAcentral lists this transfer RNA (81 nucleotides) under Ipomoea nil (Japanese morning glory). It matches the Rfam family "tRNA". Rfam says of the family: Transfer RNA (tRNA) molecules are approximately 80 nucleotides in length. Their secondary structure includes four short double-helical elements and three loops (D, anti-codon, and T loops). The record is from Rfam by way of RNAcentral. Lineage: Eukaryota; Viridiplantae; Streptophyta; Magnoliopsida; Solanales; Convolvulaceae.
GACGGUUUGACCGAGUGGUCUAAGGCGCCAGAUUUAGGCUCUGGUUCGAAAGGGCGUGGGUUCAAAAUCCCACAGUCGUUA